RNAcentral lists this ribosomal RNA (253 nucleotides) under uncultured bacterium. RNAcentral describes it as "partial 16S ribosomal RNA". It matches the Rfam family "Bacterial small subunit ribosomal RNA", at positions 524 to 776 of the family's 1533-position model. The record is from RNAcentral.
UACGGAGGGAGCUAGCGUUGUUCGGAUAUACUGGGCGUAAAGCGCACGUAGGCGGCGCCGUAAGUCAGGGGUGAAAUCCCGGAGCUCAACUCCGGAACUGCCCUUGAAACUGCAGUGCUAGAAUCUUGGAGAGGCGAGUGGAAUUCCGAGUGUAGAGGUGAAAUUCGUAGAUAUUCGGAAGAACACCAGUGGCGAAGGCGGCUCACUGGCCCGGUACUGACGCUGAGGUGCGAAAGCGUGGGGAGCAAACAGG